GACGAACGCUGGCGGCGUGCUUAACACAUGCAAGUCGAACGGAAAGGCCCUGCUUGCAGGGUGCUCGAGUGGCGAACGGGUGAGUAACACGUGGGUGAUCUGCCCCUUACUUUGGGAUAAGCCUGGGAAACUGGGUCUAAUACUGGAUAGGACCAUGCUGUAGGUGGUGUGGUGGAAAGAUUAGUUUCGGUAAGGGAUGAGCUCGCGGCCUAUCAGCUUGUUGGUGGGGUAAUGGCCUAACAAGGCGUCGACGGGUAGCCGGCCUGAGAGGGUGGACGGCCACAUUGGGACUGAGAUACGGCGCAGAAGCCUGCGGGCGGCAGCAGUGGGGAAUAUUGCACAAUGGGCGCAAGCCUGAUGCAGCGACGCCGCGUGGGGGAUGACGGCCUUCGGGUUGUAAACUCCUUUCAUCCAUGACGAAGCCCUUGUGGUGACGGUAGUGGUAGAAGAAGCACCGGCUAACUACGUG
RNAcentral lists this ribosomal RNA (469 nucleotides) under uncultured bacterium. Its description in RNAcentral is "partial 16S ribosomal RNA". It matches the Rfam family "Bacterial small subunit ribosomal RNA", at positions 28 to 507 of the family's 1533-position model. The record is from RNAcentral.